CGCAUCUGUGCAUGCAGCAUAUCAAUAAGCGGAGGAAAAGAAACUAACAAGGAUUCCCCUAGUAACGGCGAGUGAAGCGGGAAGAGCUCAAAUUUGAAAUCUUAAAGGGUUUCCCUUUACGAAUUGUAGUUUAAAGAAGUGUUUUCUGUUGAGGUUUUGGUAAAAGUUCUUUGGAAUAGGACAUCAUAGAGGGUGAGAAUCCCGUAUUUGACCUUUACUUUCAACUUUGUGAUACACUUUCAAAGAGUCGGAUUGUUUGGGAAUGCAGUCCAAAAUGGGUGGUAAAUUUCAUCUAAAGCUAAAUAUUGGCGAGAGACCGAUAGCGAACAAGUACCGUGAGGGAAAGAUGAAAAGAACUUUGAAAAGAGAGUUAAACAGUACGUGAAAUUGUCAAAAGGGAAGCGUUUGACACCAGUGUUGUUUUUCUGAAAAUCAAUUAAAGAACUGUUUAUGCUAAGCUGUUUAGACUUUAUCAGCUAAUCUGUUUAGUUUUGAGCUUUUCUUUAAUGCACUUUUCAGUUAACAAGUCAACAUCAAUUUCUUUGCUGUAAAAAAGCUUGAGGAAGGUGGCUUGAGAUUCGUCUUAAGUGUUUAUAGCCUCUUGCCUAUGCAGUCGGAGAGAUUGAGGUCUGCAGCGUAGAUCCUUCGGGGCUAAAUGCAUUUGUGCUAAGUUAUAGCAUUUUAUAGACAACUUGUUGACUAUGAUUUGUCUUGUAGCUUACUCGCUUAUGUUAUUUUACCUACGCUUAGGAUGUUGAAUCUGUGCGAGACUAC
Molecule: ribosomal RNA, 774 nt
Filed under: uncultured Neocallimastigales
Lineage: Eukaryota; Fungi; Neocallimastigomycota; Neocallimastigomycetes; Neocallimastigales
Description: partial large subunit ribosomal RNA
Rfam family: Eukaryotic large subunit ribosomal RNA
Source: RNAcentral